This is a small nuclear RNA of Choloepus didactylus (southern two-toed sloth), 108 nucleotides long. The record is from RefSeq and is a predicted model, not a curated record. Lineage: Eukaryota; Metazoa; Chordata; Mammalia; Pilosa; Megalonychidae.
GGGCUCUCUUUGGGAGCACAUAUACUAAGACUGGAAUGAUACAGAGAAGAUUAGUAUGGCCCCCUGUGCAAAGAGGACACAUAAAUUCAUGAAGAAUUCCGUAUUUUU